Diceros bicornis minor is the source of this 356-nucleotide long non-coding RNA. RefSeq lists it as uncharacterized. Lineage: Eukaryota; Metazoa; Chordata; Mammalia; Perissodactyla; Rhinocerotidae. The transcript has 3 exons. The record is from RefSeq and is a predicted model, not a curated record.
AGAGAUUGGAGAUCUGCUGCCACAAGACAGGGAAGCAGGAACCACCAGGAGCUGGAAGAGGUGGCCUCAAACCCAGUCAGCGGCUCCUACACUGUGACCUCGCUCAGCUCCACUCCCCAGAACUCCAGGUCUGGCAGGUGUCAACUUGACAGAGCUAAGGGAUGCCCAGAAAGCUAGUUAAGCAUUAUUUCUGGAUGUGUUCACACGGCUGUUUGUGGAAGAGAUUAGCAUUCAAUUCCAUAGACUAUGUAAAGAGGCCCACCCUCACCAGUCUGCGACCUGAUACUACCACAAAUACGCAGGCAAAAGAUAAGUUCAUCAAAUACCAUAAGAAACUGCAGUAACAAUUCAGAGCA